This 253-nucleotide ribosomal RNA is filed under the name uncultured bacterium. RNAcentral's name for it is "partial 16S ribosomal RNA". It matches the Rfam family "Bacterial small subunit ribosomal RNA", at positions 524 to 776 of the family's 1533-position model. The record is from RNAcentral.
UACGUAGGGGGCAAGCGUUGUCCGGAAUCAUUGGGCGUAAAGCGCGUGUAGGCGGUCCGGUAAGUCCGCUGUGAAAGUCGGGGGCUCAACCCUCGGAUGCCGGUGGAUACUGUCGGGCUUGAGUACGGAAGAGGCGAGUGGAACUCCUGGUGUAGCGGUGAAAUGCGCAGAUAUCAGGAGGAACACCAAUUGCGAAGGCAGCUCGCUGGGACGUUACUGACGCUGAGACGCGAAAGCGUGGGGAGCAAACAGG